This 280-nucleotide long non-coding RNA is filed under the name Homo sapiens (human). Its description in RNAcentral is "non-protein coding lnc-LYRM9-3:1". The record is from RNAcentral. Lineage: Eukaryota; Metazoa; Chordata; Mammalia; Primates; Hominidae.
AGUCCGGGACUUCUGUGACGUCCAGCGCUACAACAUCCUGGAGAAGUGGGCAGGAGAAUGGGCCUGGAAACGCACAAGCUGGCCUCGCUCUGGAAAGACCAGGCUGUCGUUGAGAUCAACAUUGCUGUGCUCCAUAGUUUCCAAAGCAGAAUGUGACCAUCAUGGACCACCACUCGGCUGCAGAAUCCUUCAUGAAGUACAUGCAGAAUGAAUACCGGUCCCGUGGGGGCUGCCCGGCAGACUGGAUUUGGCUGGUCCCUCCCAUGUCUGGGAGCAUCAC